CCCCCAAUUCACCAAAAGGGAAAACUAGCUAGGGUUCAAAGUUCUAUGGAUAGAGUGUUCUUCAAACUCUCAUCAUUAGCAGGUAUGUGGAAUAAUAAAAAAUCGAUGGGGGUUUUAAUCUAUAUUCUUUUAAAACUUUUUAGUGUUUAAAUUAUGGGGUUCAAUUUAACUACAAGAACAUGUCUUCAAAUUCACACUUAUUCCUUAAUUAUGAAUUUUUGCUAAGUAUAUAUAUUAUAUUGUGAUUGGUGAAGAGAACGAAGUUUUUUUUUUGGCAAUGAACAGUGAAGUAUUACCAUACCAACAAAAUAAAAUCGAACAUACACUUAGGGAUCACUUACAACCCUACCUCUUCUAGUAAGGAAGUUAGACUGGGUGAGCCUUAAAGAUCUAUGUACAAGUACUGUCUUCUAAGUAUUUGACAUAUUUAGCUCUCUUGUCAUCUCUAUACCUAUUCAGUCUCUCCGUAAGAACAAAUUUGACUUGUUGUAUAAUCAUGCUGUGAGGUAUAGCCUGCUGUGUAAAGAUUUUCAAAUUCCUAGCUCUCCAAAUGUGAUAUAUGAAGGCCCCAUAAGCUACAACCAUCAUCUCUUUCUUUUUUUGCAUCAGUGUCUACGAUUGAUGUGCAAUAGAGUGUACUUUAUCCUUCCCUAAUAUAUCCUUAAUCCCAUCUGUUGUUGCACCAGGUUCCACAGAUCUUUUCUCCCUGAGCAUUUAAUAAACAAGUGUUUUGCAUCUUUCAAUACAUCUGUAUCACAUAAGCAACAAUCGGGGCUGUCACAAUGAAUUCCCAUACCACAUAAUCUGUCCUUUGUGAGUAGUUUUUCUUGUGCUGCUAACCACAUUAUAAAUCUUUAUUUGAGUAGGCUGAUACCAGUCCAUACCAAUGUUGCAAUAGGAUCACGCAAAACUGGGCCUAAUAAGGCUAAAUAGCUUUGCAUUGUUGAGUAUUUAGCAUUUGUUGUUAGACAAUAUUUUCCUCCUUGGUACCAGUCCCCCAUUUUCAAUUUGAGCUUGUGAAAGUUCCUCCAAUACCAGCUGCUAUCAGCUGGUGGUUGACAUGUCCAGAAAUUUACUCCAUUAUUCAUAUAAACACUAUGUAUCCAUUUUACCCACAAAAUAUCCUUCUUUUCCAUGAUCAACCAAAUAAAUUUUCCUACAAGUGCGAUAUUCCACAAUUUACAGCUACUAAUAUUCAAUCCUCCUUGAUAUUUGGGUCUGCAUAGUGUUUCCCAAGCUACCAGAUGAACCCUCUUGUUCUUCUCAUUACUCCCCCAUAAAAAAUCCCUACACAACUUAUCCACCUCCUUCAACACCUCCUGAGGAAAGAUGAAUACUGACCCCCAGAAGUUAUGUAUUAAAAAUAUUACAGACUGUAUAAGUUGUAUUCUCCCUGCGUAAGAUAAAUGCCUGGUAGAAGCUACUCUGAUUCUGCAAGUAAUUUUCAAACAUAGCUGAUGGCAUUCCAUUUUUGUCCACUUUUUAGGUGAUAAGGGAAGUCCCAGAUACCUAAUAGGAAAAGAUCCCACUGUAAACCCUAUAAUGUAAAUAAUUUUUUCCUUAACAGCAUCCUUGAUACCUGGCACAAAAAUGUUAGACUCGUCUAUAUUGGCAACAAGUCCAGUAAUAUUCAAAAAGUGGUUCAAGGCUUUCAUUAUUCUCCUAACUAAGGCCUCAUUGCCUUUACAAAAUAUCAUCAGAUCAUCGGCGAAGGUAAGAUGUGUCAACUUCAAUUCCUUGCACAUGGGAUGAUAUUUAAAGUUAGGCAAGUUUCUUAUUUUGUGAAGGAUUCUAGCAAGGUAUUCCAUAACCAACACAAACAACAAGGGGGAGAUGGUAUCUCCUUGUCGCAAACCUGUUCUACCCUCAAAAUAUCCAUAACUAUCUCCAUUUAAUUUAAUUGAAAACUUGGUUGUAGUCACACAUAGCAUAAUUAGUUGCCUAAACUUCUCAGGGUACCCAUAUCCGCAGAGCAUUUCCUUGAUGAAUUCCCAUGUAAUCAUAUCAUACGCCUUUCUUAAAUCGAUCUUCAUAAGACAUCUUGGACUUAUUUUCCUGUUGUACUGCCUCAAUAAGUUGUGGCACAUAAGGAUAUUAUAAAUCAAGGACCUGUCUUGGAUAAAUGCAGCUUGUGUGUCCUGUACUAAGGAUGGCAGUACAACUUUUAAUCUCUUGCAAAUUAUUUUAGACACACAUUUAUAGACUACGUUGAAACACACAAUGGGUAUAUAUUGACUAGGAUUGUUAGGACACUCCACCUUAGGUAUCAAAGUAAUACUUGUAGCAUUAAGUUGAUGUAUCAUCUUGCCAGUUCUGAACACCUCCAACACUAAAUCAGUUAUGAGGUCACCAGUUAUUGCCCAAGUACUUUGGAAAAAACCACUUCUAUAUCUAUCCAGCCAGGGCUGCUGUUUGGGUUAAUCCCAAACAUAGCUUCCUUGACAUCUUCCCUAGUAAAUCCCUGCAAUAAUUCCACCUGUUGUUCUACAGUUAAGGUAUGUCCAUAAGUCAAAAAACCUUCAGAAGCAAGCUUCCUUGGACCUCCAGUUUCUCCCAUCAUUGCAGAGUAGUAUCUCACAAAGACUUCAGCCACAUCCUUAAGAUCUGUCACCACCUUUUUAUUCUCAUCAGUUUUGCAUCACAAUUUGCAUCAAUCUCUUUUGCUUUAGAAUUGAGUAAAAAUAUUUGGUAUUGUCAUCACCAAGCUUCACCCAUUUAGCCUUGCUACUUUGCACCAGCAUCACUUCUGCAAGAUAGCUUGAUCUUUUAAAUUUCAGAUCAAUCUUUUCUUGACACUGUUUAAGCAUUUUUCUAUCUUUAUUUGCUUCAUUUAUCAUGUUACCGAAGUGGUGAGUGCAGACUCCUGAGUUUGUGUUUCAAGUACUUUAAUUUACCUAUAAUUUGAUACAUCUUACAUCCUAUACCAGGUUGCUGCCAACCACUUUUAACUAACCUCGUAAAGUCAGGAUGCAUGCUCCAAGCAUUACAGUAUUUGAAUGGUUUCCUUGUUCUUGUAUCUUGAGAAGCCAAUGUCAAGUAAGUAGGACUAUGAUCACUCAUCUCUCCAGCCAAAUAUUGUACUUUACAAGUAGGUGUGAUCUAACCACUCACUACUAGCAAAGGUACAGUCCAGUUUUGAAAAAAUUAUAUUUGUUGCAUGUCUAGCAUUCCAGGUGUAAUUACAGCCUAGUAUAGGUUGGUCAAUCAACCCACACCGAUCUACAAUUUCUUGGAAAUCCUUCAUCUCUGGGAUGGUCGCCGGGUUCCCACCUAUCCUGUUCUUCAUAUAUAGCACAACACUGAAAUCACUUGUGAUAAUCCAAGGCAGAGUAGUGCCUUAGAAUUAGGCUAGGUAAUUCCAUAGGUCCUACCUCUCUACUCUCUCAUUGUACCCAUACACUAUAGUAAGUAAAAACUGCGUAAAUACAAGUAUAUGCUCCACCUUGCAGGUUAAUGCUUGGGAAGAUUCACUACGUACUGUCACUUUGUAAUUAUUCUCCUUCCAUAAUAACUAAAUCCUCCUGUUGUAGUGGGAGGAAUGGUUUGUAAUGAACUUCCAACCUCCAAAGAUCUUAUCAGCCACCAUUUGUACUCUAUUUAAUUUUAUUUUAGUCUCUACAAGACCAACCAUUUCAGCUUUCAAAUCACCACAAAGGAGUUUCACCUCUUUCUAUUUUGAGAGGCCAUUAAGGCCUCUCACAUUCCAGCAUAGCAGCUUAACUAUCCCUCCAAGGGAUAGUAUUUUUCCCACCCCCAUGCUUGGCAGCAUUUUCCUACCUACUCUGACCUUUUUCUUCCCUGUUCAAACUUUGGAAAGUUUUAUCUACAUGUAUAGUAGUGGUAUGCACAACUUUAUUCUAGGAUGUUGAGCCAACAACCUUUUGGGUUUUUUUUAAUCCAUCAUUACUCGUCUUCAACAUCAAGUCUCCAGUGUCUUUAGGAGGUUGUACCUGAUGUUUUGGUUUUUUACAGAAUAUUUUACGCCUUUUUCUUAGUAUAAUUAUGUGUUUUCAAGUAGCCACUAUUGUAUUUAACAUGGUAUUUUAGUUCUUUCAGGAUAAGGACUGAGUGUGAAGGGUAACUAGGAGAAUCUGAGCAAAACAAAUUGUAAAAUAAACAGCGACGGCUUAGGUGAUGGACCGUUAACCUUGCGAUAAUUUGUCGGUUUAAAUUAUUGACCAA
Molecule: long non-coding RNA, 4182 nt
Filed under: Capsicum annuum
Lineage: Eukaryota; Viridiplantae; Streptophyta; Magnoliopsida; Solanales; Solanaceae
Description: long non-coding RNA (CANN_LNC015300)
Source: RNAcentral